This 65-nucleotide transfer RNA is filed under the name Marmota marmota marmota (Alpine marmot). It matches the Rfam family "tRNA". From Rfam's summary of the family: Transfer RNA (tRNA) molecules are approximately 80 nucleotides in length. Their secondary structure includes four short double-helical elements and three loops (D, anti-codon, and T loops). Further hydrogen bonds mediate the characteristic L-shaped molecular structure. tRNAs have two regions of fundamental functional importance: the anti-codon, which is responsible for specific mRNA codon recognition, and the 3' end, to which the tRNAs corresponding amino acid is attached (by aminoacyl-tRNA synthetases). tRNAs cope with the degeneracy of the genetic code in two manners: having more than one tRNA (with a specific anti-codon) for a particular amino acid; and 'wobble' base-pairing, i.e. permitting non-standard base-pairing at the 3rd anti-codon position. RNAcentral also lists the same sequence under 1 other name. Lineage: Eukaryota; Metazoa; Chordata; Mammalia; Rodentia; Sciuridae. The record is from Rfam by way of RNAcentral.
GGGGGUGUAGCUCAGUGGUAGAGCAUAUGCUUAACAUGCACAAGGCCCUAAGUUUGACCCCCCCA